RNAcentral lists this ribosomal RNA (508 nucleotides) under uncultured bacterium. Its description in RNAcentral is "partial 16S ribosomal RNA". It matches the Rfam family "Bacterial small subunit ribosomal RNA", at positions 28 to 523 of the family's 1533-position model. The record is from RNAcentral.
GAUGAACGCUAGCUACAGGCUUAACACAUGCAAGUCGAGGGGAAACGACAUCGAAAGCUUGCUUUUGAUGGGCGUCGACCGGCGCACGGGUGAGUAACGCGUAUCCAACCUGCCCACCACUUGGGGAUAACCUUGCGAAAGUAAGACUAAUACCCAAUGAUAUCUCUAGAAGACAUCUGGAAGAGAUUAAAGAUUUAUCGGUGAUGGAUGGGGAUGCGUCUGAUUAGCUUGUUGGCGGGGUAACGGCCCACCAAGGCGACGAUCAGUAGGGGUUCUGAGAGGAAGGUCCCCCACAUUGGAACUGAGACAAGGUCCAAACUCCUACGGGAGGCAGCAGUGAGGAAUAUUGGUCAAUGGGCGAGAGCCUGAACCAGCCAAGUAGCGUGCAGGAUGACGGCCCUAUGGGUUGUAAACUGCUUUUAUUAGGGAAUAAAGUGAGCCUCGUGAGGCUUUUUGCAUGUACCUUAUGAAUAAGGACCGGCUAAUUCCGUGCCAGCAGCCGCAGUAA